Molecule: ribosomal RNA, 520 nt
Filed under: uncultured Glomeromycotina
Lineage: Eukaryota; Fungi; Glomeromycota
Description: SSU rRNA
Rfam family: Eukaryotic small subunit ribosomal RNA
Source: RNAcentral
AGCAGCCGCGGUAAUUCCAGCUCCAAUAGCGUAUAUUAAAGUUGUUGCAGUUAAAAAGCUCGUAGUUGAAUUUCGGGAUUGGCGCAUCGGUCGUGCCUCACGGGGUAUGAACUGGUGCAGUCAAUUUCUCACCUUCUGGAGAACCGCGAUGUCCUUAAUUGGAUGCCGCGGGGAACCAGGACCUUUACCUUGAAAAAUUAGAGUGUUUAAAGCAGGCAUUUUUGCUUGAAUACAUUAGCAUGGAAUAAUAAAAUAGGACGGCAUGGUUCUAUUUUGUUGGUUUCUAGGACCACCGUAAUGAUUAAUAGGGAUAGUUGGGGGCAUUAGUAUUCAAUUGUCAGAGGUGAAAUUCUUGGAUUUAUUGAAGACUAACUACUGCGAAAGCAUUUGCCAAGGAUGUUUUCAUUAAUCAAGAACGAAAGUUAGGGGAUCGAAGACGAUCAGAUACCGUCGUAGUCUUAACCAUAAACUAUGCCGACUAGGAAUCAGACGAUGUUAAUUUUUUAAUGACUCGUUUGGC